Molecule: ribosomal RNA, 587 nt
Filed under: uncultured bacterium
Lineage: Bacteria
Description: bacterial SSU rRNA
Rfam family: Bacterial small subunit ribosomal RNA
Source: RNAcentral
CCUACGGGAGGCAGCAGGGGGGAAUUUUGGACAAUGGGGGCAACCCUGAUCCAGCCAUUCCGCGUGAGUGAAGAAGGCCUUCGGGUUGUAAAGCUCUUUCGCAAGGGAAGAAAACUUAUGAUCGAAUAAAUCAUGAGGUUGACGGUACCUUGAUAAGAAGCACCGGCUAGCUACGUGCCAGCAGCCGCGGUAAUACGUAGGGUGCGAGCGUUAAUCGGAAUUACUGGGCGUAAAGCGUGCGCAGGCGGUUUUGUAAGUCGGAUGUGAAAUCCCCGGGCUCAACCUGGGAACUGCGUUCGAAACUGCAAGGCUAGAGUGUGUCAGAGGGGGGUAGAAUUCCACGUGUAGCAGUGAAAUGCGUAGAGAUGUGGAGGAAUACCAAUGGCGAAGGCAGCCCCCUGGGAUAACACUGACGCUCAUGCACGAAAGCGUGGGGAGCAAACAGGAUUAGAUACCCUGGUAGUCCACGCCCUAAACGAUGUCAACUAGUUGUUGGUAGAGUAAAAUCUAUGAGUAACGUAGCUAACGCGUGAAGUUGACCGCCUGGGGAGUACGGUCGCAAGAUUAAAACUUAAAGGAAUUGACGG